GAAAACUCUCGGCUCUUCGUUUAUUUUAAGUAAUGCAGCUACCUGCUAUUUUUGGAAUAAAGCCAUAGAGAUACUCAUAUCUCUCAGGUUCAGAAGGAUGGGAGCCCAGCAGAGGCGGCCAAAUUCUGAACAAAAGUCCAGGGAGCGAGCAAGUCAGGUGCACAUGUAUGAGACC
Long non-coding RNA from Pristis pectinata (smalltooth sawfish), 175 nucleotides. RefSeq lists it as uncharacterized. The transcript is spliced from 3 exons. NCBI's taxonomy places the organism in Eukaryota, Metazoa, Chordata, Chondrichthyes, Rhinopristiformes, Pristidae. The record is from RefSeq and is a predicted model, not a curated record.